UCCAUGUCAUUGUGGUUUCAUUCAUUCAGCCUUCUCUGUCUCUGUUUAGCAUCUUUGUGUUUUGUGUACUGUUAUGUUAGCUAGGACUUUACAGAGCACUGGAUAGUCUAGUAUUGUGUUUGUUCUGUUAUUCCAUCAUCAAGAAGUCUCAACACUCACUUCCUUUUGUACCUUCGCUACUACUGUGAUACUAAUUUAUGCUAGCGUUGCUACAAGGUGUCUAAUGACGUGUAGUGUCGCCUCAAAUCACCAUGAAUGCAAGAAUACAAGGCCCAAAGAAACUUUAAACAGAUAUAUUAAUAUUAGACCAUGAGACUUUUAUCUGUGUUUAAUGUUCAUUAUGAUGCCUUUCUGAUUACUGCUGUGUUAGAUACGGCAGCAGGAAUCAGUACGUCAGUAAUUAUGGCAGCAGGAAUCAGCACGUCAGUAGUCACGUCAGCAGGAAUCAGCACGUCAGUAGUCACGUCAGCAGGAAUCAGCAUGUCAGUAGAUAUGUCAGUAGUCACAGUAAGAAUCAGUACGUCAGUGGUUGUGUCAGUAGGUACGUCAGUAAGAACCAGUACGUCAGUAGUUAUGUCAGUAGUUACGGCAGUAGGAAUCAGUACGUCAGUAGGAAUCAGUACGUCAGUAGGUACGUCAGUAGGUAUGUCAGUAAGAACCAGUACGUCAGUAGUUAUGUCAGUAGGUACGUCAGUAAGAACCAGUACGUCAGUAGUUAUGUCAGUAGUCAUGUCAGUAGGUAUGUCAGUAAGAACCAGUACGUCAGUAGUUAUGUCAGUAGUUACGACAGUAAGAAUCAGCACGUCAGUAGGAAUCAGUACGUCAGUAGGUACGUCAGUAGGUAUGUCAGUAAGAACCAGUACGUCAGUAAUGUCAGUAGUCAUGUCAGUAGGUACGUCAGUAAGAACCAGUACGUCAGUAGUUAUGUCAGUAGUCAUGUCAGUAGGUACGUCAGUAAGAACCAGUACGUCAGUAGUUAUGUCAGUAGUCAUGUCAGUAGGUACGUCAGUAAGAACCAGUACGUCAGUAGUUAUGUCAGUAGUCAUGUCAGUAGGUACGUCAGUAAGAACCAGUACGUCAGUAGUUAUGUCAGUAGUCAUGUCAGUAGGUACGUCAGUAAGAACCAGUACGUCAGUAGUUAUGUCAGUAGUCAUGUCAGUUGGUACGUCAGUAAGAACCAGUACGUCAGUAGUUAUGUCAGUAGACGGCAGUAAGAAUCAGAACGUCAGUAGAACUAUUUAUGUGAGCCACUGCUACUGAAUCUUACUGUAGAGUUACUUCACUAAGAAUCAGUAGCAGUGUCGGCUCACAUUAUAGUGUAGAUAACCAAAAUAUACAACAAAUACCACAAACUCCUCAUUAGUAUUUAUAGUCAUGAAGGAUUAAGUCACUCGAGCAUCAGAAAAAUAAAUAAUAACUUCACUUGUACUUCUCUGAGGAAAUAAAUACACCAUAAACUAAUGAUAGCCGGAUAGCUUGAUGCUAACGCGAGCCCCAAGCUUGAAAAUAAAACUUUGUGCUAAAAGAAAGAACAAAUUGGUGUGUGUGUGUGUGUGUGUGUGUGUGUGUGUGUGUGUGUGUGUGUGUGUGUGUGUGUGUGUGUGUGUGUGUGUGUGUUUUACACUUAAUAAUUGACGCCUUUUGGCGUUCACGCUUUUCGAAACGUUACGGUUUGGAACACGACGCCGAAGGCAGACAGGAAGUAGGGACCCUAGUUAGGGAACAAGUGCGCGGAUUAAAGCACAGCCCUCAGUGAUCCGGUAAAGAGGAAACAAUCAAGAGCUCGGGAGUGAUGAUGGUGUCUGAGUUUUACUGGUGACCCAGCACUGAACACCUGAACACAAUGGAGGACUCGUCCAAAGAAGAAUACAAGAUCCAUUCCUUCGAUCCAGAGACACAGAAACUGCUUUUCACAGCUCUAAAAGACCCAGGUUUGGUGGAUCUGGAGACGGUGUGUAACAUCAUCAUGGACCAGUCUCUGAGGGAUCAGAUGUUUAGCAAAGAAGCGGGACGCAUGUGCUUCACUAUCGUCCAGGUAACCGUGUUAAUUCCACUCAGAAUAGCGGCGUAUUAAUCGCCGAGGUUGUAGCUGUGAGGUAUUUGGUAUGUGGUGCAUUACGGUCAUCAGGCGGAGGCCAAGCAGAACAACAGCAGCGCGUUUCGCCAUCAUCUCUUGGACCGACUGCAGCAGGAGUUCAAGAACCGCGAGGAGACGAGGAAGAGGUCCGUACAGGAGUGGGUGUGUUACGUCUCCUUCAUCUGUAACAUCUUCGACUACCUCAAGGUAAAUAACAUGCCCAUGAUGGUUCUGGUUCACCCGGUGUACGACUGUCUGAUGCGACUCGCCCAAUCAGAUGCACUCAAAAACGAAGAGGAGGUGGAUUGCCUGGUGCUGCAGCUGCAUCGUAUCGGAGAUCAGCUGGAGAAGGUGAACGCCGAGCGCAUGGACGAGCUCUUCUUCCUGCUGCGUGACGGCUUCCUGCUGCAGCACGACCUCAGCUCGCUCUCUCGCCUCCUCCUGCUGGAAAUGCUCGAGUUCCGUGCUGGAGGCUGGAGACUCAGUGACACGGCUCAGAGCUACUACUACAGCGAGCUGCAAGACUGAGUCACUAACCGACUCGUGGACUGACGCCUCGGCCAAUCAGUAGCUGGAAGAAACGUGUGUUAAGUCUGGACUCGUUUAUUCUUCAUGGCUACAAAUACAGGAAACAAACAAGUGCC
RNA transcript from Tachysurus fulvidraco (yellow catfish), 2721 nucleotides. It is a transcript of the gene named MIF4G domain containing b, with no coding region annotated. NCBI's taxonomy places the organism in Eukaryota, Metazoa, Chordata, Actinopteri, Siluriformes, Bagridae. The record is from RefSeq and is a predicted model, not a curated record. The transcript has 5 exons.